Molecule: non-coding RNA, 70 nt
Organism: Dipodomys ordii (Ord's kangaroo rat)
Lineage: Eukaryota; Metazoa; Chordata; Mammalia; Rodentia; Heteromyidae
Source: Rfam
GGGAAGGUGGCUCAGUGGUAGAGUGCUUGCCUUGCAUGCACGAGGCCCUGGGUUCGAUUCCUCAGCGCCA